RNAcentral lists this ribosomal RNA (433 nucleotides) under uncultured bacterium. Its description in RNAcentral is "partial 16S ribosomal RNA". It matches the Rfam family "Bacterial small subunit ribosomal RNA", at positions 29 to 507 of the family's 1533-position model. The record is from RNAcentral.
AACGAACGCUGGCGGCAUGCCUAACACAUGCAAGUCGAACGAGACCUUCGGGUCUAGUGGCGCACGGGUGCGUAACACGUGGGAACCUGCCUUUAGGUUCGGUAUCACUCAGAGUAAUUUGAGCUAAUACCGGUUGAUGUCUUCGGACCAAAGAUUUAUCGCCUUUAGAUGGGCCCGCGUUGGAUUCGCUAGUUGGUGGGGUAAAGGCCUACCAAGGCGACGUUCCAUAGCUGGUCUGUGAGGAUGAUCCGCCACACUGGGACUGAGACACGGCCCAGACUCGGACGGGAGGCAGCAGUGGGGAAUAUUGGACAAGGGGGGAAAGCGUGGUCCAGCAAUGCCGCGUGAGUGAUGAAGGGCUUAGGGUUGUAAAGCUCUUUUACACGAGACGAUAAUGACAGUAUCGGGAGAAUAAGCACCGGCUAACUCCGUG